This 494-nucleotide ribosomal RNA is filed under the name uncultured bacterium. RNAcentral's name for it is "bacterial SSU rRNA". It matches the Rfam family "Bacterial small subunit ribosomal RNA", at positions 28 to 524 of the family's 1533-position model. The record is from RNAcentral.
GACGAACGCUGGCGGCGCGCCUAACACAUGCAAGUCGAGCGAUGAAAGUUGUUCAGAUCCUUCGGGUGACGAACUUCUGGAUUAGCGGCGAACGGGUGAGUAACGCGUGAGGAACCUGCCUCUCACAACGGGAUAGCCUCGGGAAACCGGGAUUAAUACCGUAUGACACUAUCAGAUGGCAUCAUCAGAUAGUUAAAGUGCUAGCGGUGAGAGAUGGCCUCGCGUCUGAUUAGUUAGUUGGUGGGUAACGGCCUACCAAGACGACGAUCAGUAACCGGCCUGAGAGGGUGAACGGUCACAUUGGAACUGAGACACGGUCCAAACUCCUACGGGAGGCAGCAGUGGGGAAUCUUGCACAAUGGGGGGAACCCUGAUGCAGCGACGCCGCGUGAGCGAUGAAGGUUUUCGAAUCGUAAAGCUCUGUCCUAUGGGAAGAUAAUGACGGUACCAUAGGAGGAAGCCCCGGCUAACUACGUGCCAGCAGCCGCGGUAAU